This 74-nucleotide transfer RNA is filed under the name Cytophagales bacterium. Its description in RNAcentral is "tRNA-Val". It matches the Rfam family "tRNA". From Rfam's summary of the family: Transfer RNA (tRNA) molecules are approximately 80 nucleotides in length. Their secondary structure includes four short double-helical elements and three loops (D, anti-codon, and T loops). Further hydrogen bonds mediate the characteristic L-shaped molecular structure. tRNAs have two regions of fundamental functional importance: the anti-codon, which is responsible for specific mRNA codon recognition, and the 3' end, to which the tRNAs corresponding amino acid is attached (by aminoacyl-tRNA synthetases). tRNAs cope with the degeneracy of the genetic code in two manners: having more than one tRNA (with a specific anti-codon) for a particular amino acid; and 'wobble' base-pairing, i.e. permitting non-standard base-pairing at the 3rd anti-codon position. The record is from RNAcentral. Lineage: Bacteria; Pseudomonadati; Bacteroidota; Cytophagia; Cytophagales.
AGGUGAUUAGCUCAGUUGGUUAGAGCGCUUCGUUGACAUCGAAGAGGUCACUGGUUCGAGUCCAGCAUUACCUA